This 307-nucleotide ribosomal RNA is filed under the name Escherichia coli. RNAcentral describes it as "bacterial SSU rRNA". It matches the Rfam family "Bacterial small subunit ribosomal RNA", at positions 442 to 745 of the family's 1533-position model. The record is from RNAcentral. Lineage: Bacteria; Pseudomonadati; Pseudomonadota; Gammaproteobacteria; Enterobacterales; Enterobacteriaceae.
GGAAGGGAGUAAAGUUAAUACCUUUGCUCAUUGACGUUACCCGCAGAAGAAGCACCGGCUAACUCCGUGCCAGCAGCCGCGGUAAUACGGAGGGUGCAAGCGUUAAUCGGAAUUACUGGGCGUAAAGCGCACGCAGGCGGUUUGUUAAGUCAGAUGUGAAAUCCCCGGGCUCAACCUGGGAACUGCAUCUGAUACUGGCAAGCUUGAGUCUCGUAGAGGGGGGUAGAAUUCCAGGUGUAGCGGUGAAAUGCGUACAGAUCUGGAGGAAUACCGGUGGCCAAGGGGGCCCCCUGGACAAAGACUGACG